GGUUCCGUAGCUCAACUGGAUAGAGCAGCUGCCUUCUAAGCAGCAGGUUUUGCGUUCGAGUCGCAACGGAAUCA
Molecule: transfer RNA, 74 nt
Filed under: Bacteroidales bacterium
Lineage: Bacteria; Pseudomonadati; Bacteroidota; Bacteroidia; Bacteroidales
Also listed under: 1 other name
Description: tRNA-Arg
Rfam family: tRNA
About the family: Transfer RNA (tRNA) molecules are approximately 80 nucleotides in length.
Source: RNAcentral